CUAAGGAAUAUUUCCGCAAUGGGCGAAAGCCUGACGGAGCGACGCCGCGUGGAUGAUGAAGGCCGGAAGGUUGUAAAGUCCUUUUAUGACAGAGGAAUAACCGGGGCAGGGAAUGGCACCGGGGUGACUGUAGGUCAUGAAUAAGGACCGGCUAAUUCCGUGCCAGCAGCCGCGGUAAUACGGAAGGUCCGGGCGUUAUCCGGAUUUAUUGGGUUUAAAGGGAGCGUAGGCCGGAGAUUAAGCGUGUUGUGAAAUGUAGCGCUCAACGCUGCACUGCAGCGCG
RNAcentral lists this ribosomal RNA (283 nucleotides) under uncultured Prevotella sp. Its description in RNAcentral is "partial 16S ribosomal RNA". It matches the Rfam family "Bacterial small subunit ribosomal RNA", at positions 354 to 630 of the family's 1533-position model. The record is from RNAcentral. Lineage: Bacteria; Pseudomonadati; Bacteroidota; Bacteroidia; Bacteroidales; Prevotellaceae.